GUGGCGUCUUCUUUAAUAGAGAGAUUAAAAAAAAUGCUAGGCCACCACUACCCAGUAAACAUUGCAGGGAAAAAAGCCCCCAAAACUGUGUGCAGUGUUUCUUGCCUGUUUUUUUUUCUUCUGUCUCCAAACAAAGAGAUCUGUGCUUGCUCCUGAAAGAAGGCAAAUAAAUACACUGCCCACAUACCCUGGUGGUUGUGAACCUCUUUCAGGAAGGCGGACCCCUAUGGCACUCCACCCCACCGCAGCCCUUCCCAUCUGUUCAGGCACCAAGUCCUGCCUCUGCGCCGGGUGAACAGGUCCUCCAAGUCCACGUUUACAUUCUCUUGUUUCCAGACCAUAGACGGACGGCGUUUCUGUCUCUGAUGGUCAAAAAUGAGGUUCAGGUAGAGAUGCUGGUGUCCCACAUCCUGUUGGUCUCGUCUCUCCGGGACUGUGGCCCUCCAGGAGAAAUUCCCUUCUGA
RNAcentral lists this long non-coding RNA (464 nucleotides) under Bos indicus x Bos taurus (hybrid cattle). Its description in RNAcentral is "lncRNA (ENSBIXG00005011241.1)". Lineage: Eukaryota; Metazoa; Chordata; Mammalia; Artiodactyla; Bovidae. The record is from RNAcentral.